This is a long non-coding RNA of Malania oleifera, 647 nucleotides long. RefSeq lists it as uncharacterized. The record is from RefSeq and is a predicted model, not a curated record. The transcript has 3 exons. NCBI's taxonomy places the organism in Eukaryota, Viridiplantae, Streptophyta, Magnoliopsida, Santalales, Ximeniaceae.
AGUUUGAAGAACCGUGUAAAACCCUUAACUAGAAAACCCCCUUUUGCCUUCGUUUCUUGACGCUGAUUUAUUCCGCAAAUCCUUUUCUUUUCCUCUCCUGCCCGAUAUCCCUCCUCCCUCAUAUAGAAUUCCAUCCCGUUUUCCAAUCUUCGGAGUCGCUAGAGUCUGCCCAAGCCAUUGCCUGUCUGCCAGUCGUCGGAGUCACUGGAGUCCUCCCAAGCCACCGCUCAUUUGUCGGUCAAUGCUCUUGGAUUUGUCACGCUUUUGAUCAUUCGAACAAUAGCUCACAAAUCAGAAUCACAUCUCGUUUACCAAUCGUUGGAGUCGCUGGAGGCCACCCAAGCCACCGCCCGUCUACCCGUCUGCCAGUCAUCGAAGUCGCCAGAGAUCGCCCAAGCCAUUGCCCAUCUGCCCAUCGAUGCUCUUAGAUUUGUCGUGCUUUUGAUCAUUCAAUCAAUAGAUCACAAAUCGGGGUCUACGGGUUGUCACAAUAAAAUGAAGACGAUGUCGAGCACUACAACUGGAUGCAACUUUUUUUUUUUUUUUUUUCUGCAUUUUUUGUUAUCUGAAGUGUAAAUAUGAUGUUUUCCAACAAUUUGUUAAUGGUUUUUUUAAAACUUUAUGAAUUUUUCCUUUAUUCUGGUUUA